AUAGUGCAAGUUUAAUACUUUUAUUUUUGGUCGCGGGAAGAAAAGUGUGUGUGUGUGUGUGUGUGUGUGUGUGUUUCAUGAAUGAGCUCCGGUUUGGCUGGGAUUAUCGUCUCUUAUCUGCACAUCUCAGCUCGCGGGAACCUCGGCGCGCGGUGCACACAUGGCGCAUUCUGGAGAAACUGCGGAGCUGCGCGACGGGUGAGUGGCGAUGCACCGACUGCUGCACGAGCGCUUCACACACACACACACACACACACACACACACACACACACACAGACGGGGCUCAGUGUGUUUCAUGAAUGAGCUCCGGUUUGGCUGGGAUUAUCGUCUCUUAUCUGCACAUCUCAGCUCGCGGGAACCUCGGCGCGCGGUGCACACAUGGCGCAUUCUGGAGAAACUGCGGAGCUGCGCGACGGAUCAUCCUGCUGAAAGGUCUCACAGCAGUGCAGAUAACACAUCAACUGAGGAGAGCUCGGAGGAAGAGGAAACCCAUGAAGAGGAAGAGGAAAGAGAAUCAGGUUGA
This is a long non-coding RNA of Sinocyclocheilus grahami, 524 nucleotides long. NCBI's taxonomy places the organism in Eukaryota, Metazoa, Chordata, Actinopteri, Cypriniformes, Cyprinidae. The record is from Ensembl.